Epinephelus moara (kelp grouper) is the source of this 727-nucleotide long non-coding RNA. RefSeq lists it as uncharacterized. The record is from RefSeq and is a predicted model, not a curated record. The transcript is spliced from 4 exons. Lineage: Eukaryota; Metazoa; Chordata; Actinopteri; Perciformes; Serranidae.
UGCUGUGUAUUAUUUGCAGCAUAUUUUCGACGGAUUUCUUCCUUAGAUGUUUUUUGCGCACUUGGCGCCAAUGUCUCCUCAUCACCAUUUUGCGCUUCAGCUGCUGCUGAAUGUUACAGGAUCCAGACCCGAGGUGGAAAUGGAUUCUCCGAAACGAGCUCAUCAUGUCACGGAGAGAAAAACGAGCUCCAUCACAUGAUAGACGACGUGCGUCGGCGGCUCAAAGACAUUCAUCGCUCAGUCUGCAGAGCAGAUGACGUUCUACAACAGGAAACCCUUCACGUCUCAGCGUGAAACGGCAAACUGCAAGAGGAGAUGCAGCUCACAGCCUGUGUGGCAGAUGGGACACUCUUCUAAGGAAGUCAACACCCCUGAAGCUGCUUGAGCUCAAACAAUAACUACACUAAUGAAGAAUAACAUACAACAAUCAAGUAUCUUCCGGUGUUUUUGUGUCUUGUGAGUAUUAAAACAAGCUUAACAUCCCCUCUCCCAACAGCUCAGGGCCAGUCAGCUGCCUCCCAGCCCAGCUAUGGCUCCCCCUAGCCGUGCCUCCAUAUUUCCUUGUUAAUGCACACCAUAGUGCCCUGACCCUCCCUGUUCUAAUACACAGCAAAGACACCAAAAUACACCUGAAAACCUGACUUUCUCUCUCUAAAUGUGGAGUUUAUAGUCUCCAUCCACCUCCCAGCCAACAUUGGGCACCAUUGGCCAAAGCAGAAGAGAGGAU